GCACACAUCAUCCGCCGCAGAGGAACCCGUGUGCUGGGUUCUGAGUCUCUUACCUCCAACAACUUCCUCUCAUCCAUAAAAAUGUCCUGGGUCAGUGAGAUGGCAUGGAGGGUGACCUGAAGGACAGCACCUCCCAGGAGUGUAGGGUGGGUCCCAAACUCCCAAGAUUCCCUGAAGAUGCCAGCAUUCAGAGACUUGAAGAAGAAGGUAAAGUGUUUGGUUUCCCCGGGCAGAAUCACACCUGGGAAAGACAGAGGCAGAGGCUGCUGUGGAGCAGGAGCUGGCUGAGAUGCCAACCUGGUUAUAGAAAGUGCACCACAGUGGCCCACAUCUGGCGACCAGUGUCCUGGUUUCUCAGGAGCAUAAGGUUUCCAGGUCUGUGUGACUUUUGAAUGUAGAGCUAGGGAAGCUCGGGUCAAUCAAGGGAUGGCUGGGCAUCCCCACCCCAGGUCUGUGCUCCCUGAGGCUGCUCCCUCCCCUGCACUCUCAAGAGUUCAACAGACAUAGUGGACCAUACACAUAAUGAGAGGAGGAGGGGAUGGGCCAGAUACUAACUAAACAUGGGGAUCCACCAGUCACUGAGCCAGCAAGAAGGAGAACUUCAGGAUACCUUCCCGGUUGUUAAAGUAAAACCUCUGCGUCUUGUUUUGCUUUAGGUCUUGGAAAAAAUCCUGGUGGGGCCGCCUUCGCCAGUUGUACCAAAUGGCCACCGUGCCGUUAUUGACCACAGUCAGUUCUGAGGACGUUCUCUCCCCUUCAAGGGUUUCAAAUGUCAGGCGGACACCAAUUCCGAUGUUUUUCUGUGGGAGGAAGAGGGUCUAAGGAGUAUCUUGGCUAGAGGUCUUGCCCUGGAGUGACCAACUCACCCCCCCACCCCCACCCCCGUUUCCUAUGACUUCUCUGAAAGUCCACUGUUCACUCUGAUCCUCUGAGCUUAGUCACCUUGAGUGGUGUCAGACUCUCCUGAUAAUUGUCUCUGAGGUUAUCAUCAAUACUAAGAAGAGAAAUAUUUUUUUAACUUGGUGUUCCUUUCUACUCCUUAGUAUCUGAAGAAUGUUCUAGAACUGGUAUUGGAGCAAUGACUCAGAGGUUAAUUUUCAAGCCCAAAGACUGGAUGGAGAUCUGAUCUCCAGAAGCCAGUAGUGUGUGGCAGCCUGCACACGGGAGGUAGAGACAGCAUCCCUGGGGCAAGCUGGCUAGCUAGACUAACCCAAACAUUAGCUCUAGGUUCAGUAAGAGACCCUACUGAGGUGGAAAGUGAAAGGGGAAGACACCCUAUUCAACCAUACAUGUUACAUGUUCACAGGAGUGCAUGUAUACUGGUACAUACACAAAUACACACACACACACACAUGUGCUCACACAUAUUUGGACAUGCCCACAUAUGACUGUACCCAUACAUAUUACAUACAUAUACAAGUUUUUUCAAGAUGUGUAGUCCUGGUUGUCCUGGAACUAACUCUGUAGAUCAGACUGGCUUCAAACUCACAGAGAUCCUCCCACACACAUACCCAGCUCUGCCUCCCUAAUGUUGGGAUUCAAGGUGUUCACCACUCCUGCCCAGCCAAUGAUCUUUUGAGCCUUGUGAUCUCACUUCUGCUUGAGUUAGUGCUGCGGUUACCAUUUUCAGGCAUGCGGAAUGUGUGAUCAGAUAAGAACACAAAUCAGAAGCUGUGGACUCCUCGUGACUAUCUCGGUCACCUUGGGGCCGCACCCAUGCAAGCGUGUGAGGCCCAAGAGGCCGUUUACCUUGUCCUCUGGGUUACUGCCUCUGACCCAGCAAGCUGGCUUCCCACAGAACAGCAGCGAAGGGCCGAGAAUAGGCAUGGGGACCAUGUCGGAGAGGUUGGUCAAGGAGUCUCUGUAGGAAAAGCCAGUUAUUUAUUUACCUGGAGGCUGAGCAGUCACACCACUUGGGACCGUGGACACAGAGAGCCAGUCAGUCUGCUGAGUUUCCUCAAAGUCUCCCUCCGCGGUUAUUCUCUAUGCAUAGCCACGGAGGGUUCUAGGGGAGUAUGGGGACAUUAAGUAGCAUAGUAAUGUCUGGGUAACCCCGACUAGGAUCCAAUUGUGGGGAGGAAGAAUAUGACAGCAGACAGCUAGCAGAGAUGUAGGAACGGGCUAGAGGAAAGGGGGACAGCUACUGGCCAGGCUGGAAUGAAGCCACUCUGAUUUUGCUUUCAGAAAGAAAAGCCCGCCCUCGGACACUAGUGGGGAUAAGGGUAGCAUGUUCUCCAGCUUCUCCCCUGGGGCUCAGACUCACAGAAAUACCGUGUCUUCCGAGGAGCUCUUCUGGAUCUUUUCAGGUGGCAAAUGUUCUUCCACUGUGACAGAUGAGAAGGGCUUCCCAUGGCCCACCACCUCCAGGCCAUCAAUAUCCUAAGAGGAGUAGAGAGAGGGAAUAUGAGCUGGUUGGCAGGUGUCACCUAAGGCACCUCAGGAUCGGGGAUGAAGGCAUUAGCAACCUGCUGGCUGAAAUCCAGCUCUGCCAUGAUACUCUGCAGCUCCUUGCGUCGGUAGAUCAGAAACAGACUCCGGUCCCAGGUGUAGCGGUACCAAGCAUCCUUCUGGGCUGGUAAUCCUAGAGUGGAGUUAGAAGAGCCUCAGCCCAGGCUGCUGUCAGUGCUUGCCCAAGGGUCCUGAGAUCACCAAUCCCGGCGGCACUUCUGAGAAGGAUUGGGGAAUGCAUACGGUUUCUGAGGGGUAGCUCUACAUCAGCAAUCUGGUCCUGUACCUCCCUAGCAAUGCUAUAUCGGAAUCCUACAAAAUCAGCUACCAGACGGCUAGACCUUCGGAUUACAGUAACAACAGCAACUACCUUCUGUUGAGUCUGAGCAAGGAGCCAGAACCCCUGAAUGCAAAUAAUGUCUCCUUUAACCCUCUCACCAUGCUUAUGCUAUAAAAUCAAGGGUGAUAGGAGACAAAUAACUCAUAGAAAUUCAGAAAGCCAGCACAGCUGGGAUGUGAUUCCAAGCAGCUGACUGGCAGGCUCUAAAGUAUGGCUAACCCAUGGGUAUAUAAUAUAAACCACACAUGCAAGCCACGUGUGUCCUUUCAAAUUUUCCAGAUGCAUGCUGAGAUGGUAGAACGGCUCUAGGUGAGAUUCACUUUAGCAUGGUUUAUCGAACUCCAUAUAUGAAGAUGAUUACUCCAAUACGCAAUCAACAUAAAAAGCAAAUUUUUCUCCUCAAAUUGUUCUAUACUGUCAGCUCAUUCCUAGACUGACUAACUCAUGUUCCAGGGACUCAGGAGGUUCAUGGGGCUGGUGAAAGCUCUAUGCCCAGGAUCCCAGUUACCAGGCCUCCCUUGUCACUUCUAUCAGUUUCACUGAGGUAUGAACUAGAGCCCAGGUAAACUCCGAGACUUGUUCAAAGCCAAGUGAGGCAGGAUUUGGGCCAGAGUCAUGCUGAACCACCUCCACACUACCCUGCCUCUAGCACUAGGCACAAGGAGCUAACAGAGUUGGGCCCCUGAAGUGGACAUUUCUAGUUUCUUUGGAGACACGGUUGAGUCACGUGAUGUUUUUCUAGAAACUGUCUUACGAGAGGACAUUUUUUUUGCUGAAGCAGACACAUGUGAGGAUGUUUUGCUGAGAAUCGACAUGGGGUGUUUUCCUGGAAGCAGCCUGGGAAAAGGGCAUGUGAUGUUGUGCUAGAGCGGAUGUUUGAGAGAACAUGUGAUGUUUGGAAAGGGUAGAAAUAUAACCCAACAGACUGUGGACGAUGCUGUGUGGUAUUGGUUCGCCUUCCCACUCUUUGCUGGUCAUCACUUGUCAUGAUUUCAUAGAAACACCACCAAAGAACUUCCAGUGGUGUUCCGGUGGCCUCUUGCCAAAGAGUCUCGCGGUUUCCUCUGGAUUGAACUGUCAUUGCUGAUUUGUGAAUGGUGUUUGUGAGUGGAUGAAGCGACCACUGCUGAUUUGUGCUAACUGAACUGCUGAUAUCCUGAGAAGGCCGAUCGUAUUCACAUCAAAGAACUAUUUCUGAACAGGUCCACAUCCUCCUUUGCCCUAUUAAUCUUUCCUUUCCACUACCUCUGAUGGGUGGUGGGCUGGAAGGGAGGUUAAAGCAUUUAGGUACACUUACUAAAGUAGGUUUUG
This 4099-nucleotide long non-coding RNA is filed under the name Mus musculus (house mouse). RNAcentral describes it as "long non-coding RNA chr11:94507493-94511592". The record is from RNAcentral. Lineage: Eukaryota; Metazoa; Chordata; Mammalia; Rodentia; Muridae.